AAUUAUUGACCCAAAUCCUUCACCCCUCACUGUACUAUUGGCCUUUGUUUUAUAACUUUGCAGUUACUCUUGCUAGACGUGGAAUGUACUUCCCUAUCCUUUGACCUUGUUUAUACUCAGCGUGUGACUUGAUUACACCAAUGGACUUUACUGCCCCUUCAACCUGGGCUUCAAAAGGUGAACACGUACAGCAGAUGUGAGAGCAACCACCAGCAAGGAACAAAACCUGCACUCAGCAGAACCCAGCCUAGAUCCGCUGACCAGCCAACCAACAUAGAGAUACAUUCAUGAGAAUAAAUAAUUGCUGUCUUAUAUCAGGAGAAAGUGCAUCCAGAACUGAUGUGAAUGCCGAGAUCUUGGUCUUUGAGCCUGAUGCUGUGAUUCCAUGAGACUUCUGCGGCUCUUUGGGGUGGAGCACCUAGGAGCAGCACCCAAGGAGGAAAGAUUCCAUUCCUCCCCACCCCAUCACACCUUACCUGUGGGUAAUUGUAGCAUUCCAGCAGUGUCCCCAUCUGAGCUGAAAUGGCCCAUGUGGUUCCUGCAAUAACUGCUACAGACCUGCUCUCUCUCACACAGGUGUAGUUAGGUAUCACAUUGCCUAGUCCAGGCAACCACAUGAGGGAACUCUCCAAAGUCCUUUGCUCACUGUGCAAUGCAUUGUAGAGAUCCCAUCCUAGGGAUACGUUGGGUAAAGAUAGGGGUUCUCUUUAUUGUCUCAGUGGCAAAAUCAAAGGCAAGAACAUACUGGUAGUGUGAUGAAAAAGCCCUGUAUGGAGGGCAUAAAGAUCCUUAGGAAAGGCUCAAACCAUGUGAUUUAGGAUUAUUUCAUAAUUGAAGAGAAAGGACACAAUAUU
Molecule: long non-coding RNA, 854 nt
Filed under: Equus asinus (donkey)
Lineage: Eukaryota; Metazoa; Chordata; Mammalia; Perissodactyla; Equidae
Description: lncRNA (ENSEASG00005034835.1)
Source: RNAcentral